UACGAAGGUUGCGAGCGUUGUUCGGAAUCACUGGGCUUAAAGCGCACGUAGGCGGCUCAUCAAGUGCUUCGUGAAAUCCCCCGGCUCAACCGGGGAAUCGCUUGGCAUACUGUUGGGCUUGAGGCAGGUAGGGGCGCGUGGAACUCUUGGUGGAGCGGUGGAAUGCGUAGAUAUCAAGAGGAACGCCGGUGGCGAAAGCGACGCGCUGGGCCUGUCCUGACGCUGAGGUGCGAAAGCCAGGGGAG
Molecule: ribosomal RNA, 245 nt
Filed under: uncultured bacterium
Lineage: Bacteria
Description: partial 16S ribosomal RNA
Rfam family: Bacterial small subunit ribosomal RNA
Source: RNAcentral